GUGAGGAAUAUUGCGCAAUGGAGGCAACUCUGACGCAGCCAUGCCGCGUGCAGGAAGAAGGCGCUACGCGUUGUAAACUGCUUUUAACCGGGAAGAAACCCCAGGACGUGUCCUGGGUUGACGGUACCGGAGGAAUAAGCACCGGCUAACUUCGUGCCAGCAGCCGCGGUAAUACGAAGGGUGCAAGCGUUAUCCGGAUUCAUUGGGUUUAAAGGGUGCGUAGGCGGAUCUUUAAGUCAGUGGUGAAAGCCUGCAGCUUAACUGUAGAAUUGCCAUUGAAACUGAAGAUCUUGAAUGCGCUUGAAGUGGGCGGAAUGUGCCGUGUAGCGGUGAAAUGCUUAGAUAUGGCACAGAACACCAAUUGCGAAGGCAGCUCACUAAGGCGAUACUGACGCUGAGGCACGAAAGCGUGGGGAUCGAACAGGAUUAGAAACCCCGGUAGUCC
Molecule: ribosomal RNA, 445 nt
Filed under: uncultured bacterium
Lineage: Bacteria
Description: bacterial SSU rRNA
Rfam family: Bacterial small subunit ribosomal RNA
Source: RNAcentral